CCCUUGUACACACCGCCCGUCACACCAUGGGAGUUGGCUCUACCCGAAGACGGUGUGCUAACCCGAAAGGGAGGCAGCCGGCCACGGUCGGGUCAGCGACUGGGGUG
RNAcentral lists this ribosomal RNA (107 nucleotides) under uncultured bacterium. RNAcentral describes it as "partial 16S ribosomal RNA". It matches the Rfam family "Bacterial small subunit ribosomal RNA", at positions 1378 to 1482 of the family's 1533-position model. The record is from RNAcentral.